UAGCCGGAUGGUGUCUGAGGGUCAGAUUCAGCAAGAGAGAUCUGGUCAACAUAAUUCUCAUAGUCAUCACAAAUCUCAUAAUCCUGGAUGGAUUUAGUGGAUCCAGCAGGAGUUGGGGUUUCAUUCAGGUUAUAGAGCCAGUUCCUUUGGUUAUGAACACUAGUCCUAGGAUCGGGCAUGGUGAAUAGGCAGAGGACCUGGUUAUCAAUAAUAAGCUCGAACUCAUCAGACCCUAUGUUUGCUAUAAACAUAGUGUU
RNAcentral lists this long non-coding RNA (257 nucleotides) under Lathyrus oleraceus (garden pea). Its description in RNAcentral is "Pisum sativum (pea) long non-coding RNA (PSAT_LNC023858)". Lineage: Eukaryota; Viridiplantae; Streptophyta; Magnoliopsida; Fabales; Fabaceae. The record is from RNAcentral.